CUUUCAAUAACUCUUUUUUAGCCUUCCUACACAUGGUGAAGUUUACUUUAACCCCUCCUCAACCCCCACAAUAUAGUCCUCAUCUAUCCGCAUAGAAGGGCCAUCAGCAACAACACUAGCAAGCUUUUCAGUAGCCCCACCAAUAGGCCCCUCUUUAGGCAUCUCAGUGUUCCUGUCACCUACAAGCCCUUUAGUUUAGUCCUCGCCUAACCCCUCA
RNAcentral lists this long non-coding RNA (217 nucleotides) under Gossypium barbadense (sea-island cotton). RNAcentral's name for it is "long non-coding RNA (GBAR_LNC021435)". The record is from RNAcentral. Lineage: Eukaryota; Viridiplantae; Streptophyta; Magnoliopsida; Malvales; Malvaceae.